ACACGUAGGAGGCGAACGUUAUCCGGAUUUACUGGGCGUAAAGCGCGUGUAGGUGGUUCUGUAAGUAGGGCGUGAAAGCUCCUGGCUCAACUGGGAGAGGCCGUUCUAAACUGCAGGACUAGAGGAUGGUAGAGGGAGGUGGAAUUCCAGGUGUAGCGGUGGAAUGCGCAGAUAUCUGGAGGAACACCGAUGGCGAAGGCAAGCUCCUGGCCGAUGACUGACGCUGAGGUGCGAAAGUGUGGGGAUC
Molecule: ribosomal RNA, 247 nt
Filed under: uncultured bacterium
Lineage: Bacteria
Description: partial 16S ribosomal RNA
Rfam family: Bacterial small subunit ribosomal RNA
Source: RNAcentral